GACCGGCGCACGGGUGAGUAACGCGUAUGCAAUCUACCUCUUACUGGGGUAUAGCCCAGAGAAAUUUGGAUUAAUCCCCCAUAGUACCAUUUGAUCGCAUGAUCAGUUGGUUAAAGGUUACGGUAAGAGAUGAGCAUGCGUCCCAUUAGUUAGUUGGCGAGGUAACGGCUCACCAAGACUUCGAUGGGUAGGGGUUCUGAGAGGAUGACCCCCCACACUGGUACUGAGACACGGACCAGACUCCUACGGGAGGCAGCAGUGAGGAAUAUUGCGCAAUGGACGAAAGUCUGACGCAGCCAUGCCGCGUGCAGGAAGACGGCGCUACGCGUUGUAAACUGCUUUUAUUUACAAAGAAACCUCAGGACGUGUCCUGAGCUGACGGUAGUAUUUGAAUAAGCACCGGCUAACUCCGUGCCAGCAGCCGCGGUAAUACGGAGGGUGCAAGCGUUAUCCGGAUUUAUUGGGUUUAAAGGGUCCGUAGGUGGACAAUUAAGUCAGCGGUGAAAUCCCACAGCUCAACUGUGGAACUGCCAUUGAUACUGGUUGUCUUGAGUACGUUAGAAGUUGGCGGAAUAGGUCAUGUAGCGGU
Molecule: ribosomal RNA, 589 nt
Filed under: uncultured bacterium
Lineage: Bacteria
Description: bacterial SSU rRNA
Rfam family: Bacterial small subunit ribosomal RNA
Source: RNAcentral